Chiloscyllium plagiosum (whitespotted bambooshark) is the source of this 1494-nucleotide non-coding RNA. The record is from RefSeq and is a predicted model, not a curated record. Lineage: Eukaryota; Metazoa; Chordata; Chondrichthyes; Orectolobiformes; Hemiscylliidae.
CCAAGUCAGGAUGAUGUGUGGCUUAGAGGGGAAUUUGCAGGUGGUGGUAUUGCCACACUUUGCUAUUCCAUUUCUUCUAGAUGGUAGAGCUCAUAGAAGCAACUAUCAGAGAAGACUUUGUUGCAUUCAUCUCAGCAUUCCAUUACACCUCAGACUUGUAUCUUAUAGAUGGUGGACAGAUAUUAGGGAGACAUGAGGUCUUACUGCAUUUGGUCAUGGACUACUUCACUAUCUGAAAAGCUGCAAAGGAUGUGCAAUCAUCAGUGAACAUCUCCACUUCUGAUCCAAUGAUGAAAGGAAGGCCAUAGCCCAAUGGAGCUGAAUAUAAUUGGAUCUAGGACAUCACUCUGAGGAAAUUCUACAGUGAUGACUUCAGCUGAUUAAUCUCCGACAUUCACAAGAGAUCUGGAUCAUGCCCUAAGCACUUCUGACUGGGGAUGGAUGCAAAUGCUUCUGGCUUGUCUUUUGCCCUGAUGUGUUAGUGUUGCCCUCACAUCUGUCCCUCAUUGUCGAGGAUGGAGGUAUUUGUGGAGUAUCUUUCUCCAGUAAUUGUUUAAUUGUUCACCACCAUUCACAGAUGUGGUGUGGCAGGAUUGCAGGGCUUAUGUCUGAUCUGUUAGAUGUGGGAUUGAUUAGCCCUGCCUAUUGAAUGCUGCUCCAGUUGUUUGGCAUGCAAGUAGAACUGUGCUGUAGCUUCUCCAGACUGAUACCUACUUUUCAGUUUUGGUUAGUGCUUUUAGCAUGUCCUCCUUUACUCAUUGAACCAUGAUUGAUUCCCCCACUAGGUACUAGGUUGUGGUUGAACGUGAAUCUGCUGCUGAUGACGACUUUCAGUACCUUAUGGAUGUCUGCUUUUGAGUUUUUAGAUCUGUUCAAAAUCUAUCCUAUUUAAUAUCCCAUUUGUGCAUUGCAUGAAAACCUUAAUGAACUAAUAAUGCCAAGUGUCAUUUGCUUGUAUUGUGUACAAAAGAAUAUUACCACUACCACAAAAUGAAUGGUGUUCUGAAUUACUAUCUUGGAAUCCUUCAAUCUUUUUUACUUCAUGCCAUGAUGUAUAGUCACUAGUAAGUGCUUGGACAACUUAAAAGUGCAAUGUUGACCCUUUUCUAGUUGCAUAGCAGCAAUCAGUAACUCAUGAGUACCAGGUAUAGCACUACAGUUCAUUGUAAAAUCUGAAAGGACAAAGCUAUCAUCUCCCAAUCAGAACAUACACCAUAAUGCAUCAAAAGGCAAUUCCAUCAAUUGGAGGUGAGGAGAUUCAGCAUCAGUUGCAUUCUGUUCUACUUUCAAAUCAUGGGAGAAACUGCAGAACCAUGCUUAUCUAUUCUGAGCAUAUUGACUUUAAUUGUAAUGUCCGCACUGCUAUUAAAUAAAAUCACUAACCCAGGUUGAGAACGUGACUUGGAUUUUUUUCUAUUCUGCAAACUGGAGCUCUUCAUAAAAUAAAUCCAUUAAACAUUGCUGAAAAAAGACAUAUUAUGUUGAAGCCUCUUG